AGAUUCCGCAAGUUCCAAUAACAACGAAAUUUAUUACAAAAUUUUUACGGAUCGAUGUAUCUAUAGUUUCGAACAAUAACCGCCUAGGACAAUCUAAGAAGUUAGUUAUAUAUGCUAUCGUUUUCUAACAACAAAAGUAUAUAUUUACGUGAAAUCCCUACCUCCCUUACAUAUUUUUUCUGAGUUUAAAUAUGAUUUUCGACGUAUGCGAUUAUUAUAACAUUUGAGGGGAAUUAAUUCAAAUUCUUUGGAAAAACAACUACUAAAGCAACAAAAACAAAUAACAAAUAACGUUCUGCACGUCCAGUAAUUUUAGUUUUAGACCCAUCUGCACGCUUUUGCUCUAAUCUACCCUCUUUUUCCGCUCGAUUUAUAACAUUAUAAACUAUCUGACGUAUUACCCAAAAUAUAUCAGACAAUUCCUGAACAUCCAAGUUGAAGUCCGAAUAAAUCAAACAUUUUGAACUGAAUGAUAAAACGAAAGCAUCAAAGUGAUUCGAAGAAUUCUUUAUAUUUAUAUUUCUGUACUUUAUAUUUAUCUUUAUCCUUACAUAUACAUACAUAUGUAUGUACAUAUAUGAACAGAGAAAUAGGGCACGUAUAGUGUCCUCUAUACGAAUUGUUGUUUCUUAGAAGAUUAACUGAUUAUCUGGUUGACUGAUAUUCGUACAUACAUAUUUUUGUGCCAAUGUUAUGCUGUGAAUCACUUCUCUCUAAUAUCGGACAAUAAGUCUCGUUAACUUUUUUAAUGUUUCUUUUCGCCACGAUUUACUCGAAAUUCAUUUAUUGCGUU
Long non-coding RNA from Anastrepha ludens (Mexican fruit fly), 793 nucleotides. RefSeq lists it as uncharacterized. The transcript has 3 exons. The record is from RefSeq and is a predicted model, not a curated record. NCBI's taxonomy places the organism in Eukaryota, Metazoa, Arthropoda, Insecta, Diptera, Tephritidae.